This 430-nucleotide ribosomal RNA is filed under the name Reticulitermes flavipes (eastern subterranean termite). Its description in RNAcentral is "partial 12S ribosomal RNA". The record is from RNAcentral. Lineage: Eukaryota; Metazoa; Arthropoda; Insecta; Blattodea; Rhinotermitidae.
CGACUUAUCUCAUUAACAAAUAAAACGAGAGCGACGGGCGAUGUGUACAUAUCUCAGAACCAAUUAUCACAAAAACAAUCUUCAAAAUAUUACAAUCAAAUCCAAUUUCAUGCCAGUAAUUAAAACCAACAAUCCAAACACAAAUAACAAUGUAACCCACCAAAACACUUAGAGAAAGCUGCACCUUGACCUGAAAUUAAACCAAAUAUAGGAACAAGAAAAUUAUAUGACCCUAAAAAGAUAAUCAAUAAACGGCGGUAUACAAACCAACAAACAACUAAGUAAGGUCCAACGUGGACUAUCGAUAACGAGACAGGUUCCUCUGAACGGAAUAAGAUACCGCCAAAUUCUUUAAGUUUCAAGAACAUAACUAAUACUACUCAGGCAAAACAUUAACAUCCAAAAAUAAUAGGGUAUCUAAUCCUAGUUU